UACGUAGGGUGCGAGCGUUGUCCGGAAUUAUUGGGCGUAAAGAGCUCGUAGGCGGUGUGUCGCGUCGGCCGUGAAAACCUUCAGCUUAACUGGGGGCUUGCGGUCGAUACGGGCAUCACUUGAGUUCGGCAGGGGAGACUGGAAUUCCUGGUGUAGCGGUGAAAUGCGCAGAUAUCAGGAGGAACACCGGUGGCGAAGGCGGGUCUCUGGGCCGAUACUGACGCUGAGGAGCGAAAGCGUGGGGAGCGAACAGG
RNAcentral lists this ribosomal RNA (254 nucleotides) under uncultured bacterium. Its description in RNAcentral is "partial 16S ribosomal RNA". It matches the Rfam family "Bacterial small subunit ribosomal RNA", at positions 524 to 776 of the family's 1533-position model. The record is from RNAcentral.